RNAcentral lists this non-coding RNA (32 nucleotides) under Homo sapiens (human). RNAcentral also lists the same sequence under 2 other names. Lineage: Eukaryota; Metazoa; Chordata; Mammalia; Primates; Hominidae. The record is from RNAcentral.
UCCUUAGGUCGCUGGUUCGUUUCCGGCUCGAA